Molecule: long non-coding RNA, 6673 nt
Organism: Orcinus orca (killer whale)
Lineage: Eukaryota; Metazoa; Chordata; Mammalia; Artiodactyla; Delphinidae
Exons: 3
Source: RefSeq, a predicted model, not a curated record
GCUUGAUGGCUGUAAACUGGGGCGGUGAACAAGUGCGUUCUCUUUUCUGUUUUUCUUUUUCCCAGGAGUGAGAUGGGGGAGGAAAAACAGUGGUCUUUGUUGUGAAGCCACAGUCCCAAACUUCAACCUAGAGGAAUGUUUAAGUUCUGAAAAAAGUUAACGUUGAAGGCUUGCAAUUAUGUACUUAGUCACAACAAGAGGGUAAGAACUUUCAAGGCACUGGAUUGAAGAGACACAAAAGUCAGGAAGUGACCCUUUCGUCGGGAUUUCAGAGGCCGCGGACGAGAAACAAAGUCCUCUCACAACUCGGAGAACUUUGGGCCGUACCAUCCAGAGGGGCAGGGGUGGCAGAGCCGGGGAGAGGGCCGUGGAAACUGACAUCUUGGUUCUCAACGAGCCGUGAGUAAACUCAGGAUUUCCACCCUGAAAAGAUUCAGUGUCCGCAGAUCCCACGCCCUGAAAUGAAAACGGGGUUCGGCGGAUCCUCCUUGCGGAGCCUGCCGAAAUAGAAGCCGGGGUGGCCCUGGCCAGAGCCGGCCUCCUGAAUUGGGGUCUGUGCGCGCCCGCCCGGGCCGCGCGCCCGGGUCUCUGGAUGGCCUGCCGGGGCCAGCCCAUCUGCGGCCGCGCGGCCGGGAGGAAGCCGGCCCCGGGGAUGAAUGGGGCUUUGUUCGCCGGCAGCCGCGGCUGCCCUCGGCAGGCUCGGCCCGCACAACGGAGGCUGUAUGCGAGCGGAAUGGAAAUGAGCCUGCGGGCCUCCCGAAGGAGCCCCGUCCCCUUCCCUUCGCUGAGCGGAGGAAUGCUGGCAAGCCGGAAAGGAGCCCUCGCUGGGAACGCUUCUCUCGCGGCUCUGAAACCCCAUUGAGAAGAGCCCUUUGAUGCAAUUAAAGCCCAUUUCAUUGCAGGCCUGGGAGGAGCGAAGGCCCGUCCAGCUUUUUUUCUGUCUCGAGCGUAUUUGUGUGUGCACCUUUGUGGGGCGGGCGACUUAGAGAGCAGGCGGGAACUGGAGCCCCGUCUCUCGCAGACGUUCUGUAACAUCGUAAAGGCGCACCCAUAAACAGAUUGGUUUUCACCGUGGGUGGAACCCAAUUUGGACAAGAUCCAGGCCGACCUGCAGGCCGGAGUUCCUGCUUUGAAAGGCUCUUUGGUACGACUCACAGCACCUGCCCUGCUGUAAAGGUUUAGGCGGACAAGAAAUUGCGUUUGGAGGAGGAAGUUUUUCUGAGGUCAUUUCUCCUGGUUUUCCAUUUUCUGAGGUGGAGUGGGCUAUGUCGCAGGUCCAGAACUGAUCACAGUAAAAUGAUGUAACCUGAAAACUUUGACCUUCUUGGAUGCGACAGUUAUUUGAUACUAGGAUUAUUCUCUAAGAUUUCCCUGCUUCCUCCAUUGAGACAACUGUGUGGCCCCAGAAAACCCAUAUAGCCUCUCUGAGUUUAAUAUUUUUCAUCUGUUAAAAUGAACAUAAAAAGGCCAGAUAACUGAUACCAUAAAGCUCUGGGUGCUGGUGGAAUUCUUUCUAAAUUGGAGGUGAGCACCUUAUCUCCUGGCACAUGUGGAAGAUGUAUUGGACUGGAACUGCCGUAAACGUCGAUGUAAAAAUAUCGUACAGUUCCUGUUUUGUUGCCUUUGUACCACUUAUUACUAGGGUUAAUAGUCUUAUGUCUGUUUUCACUAGAAUAUAUCUCCUUGAGGACAGGAACUGUCUUUUAUUCUGGCAUCCCCUGUCCCCAGAGCAGCCCCUGACCAUCGUAAGUGGGCAACAAAGUGGUAUAUAAAGAAUACUACCUUGUUGCCGUUUUCUGUCACUUAAAAUGUAAACAAGAAAUAGGAGGAGCUCAGUGGGUAUCGGGGAUUCUUGGCCAAGUAGAAGUUUGAAGGAAACGGCAGGAAAACAUUCUGAGCUCAAAAACAUGCUGCAAAUGUUUUCUGAAAUGACCCAAGGCAGAGUGGGGCACUGAUGUGGAGGAGUCAUUCUUUUUCCCUGAGUGGAUAGCUAAUACUGGCAAACUUGAAUCACGUUUUAUAUUUGCAAAGGGGUGUACAGAGUUGAUCAUUCAUUCUUUAAACAUCCCAUGGAUAUGGGACAGUAAGGCACAGUGGCUAUGUGUGAUGGCCAUCAUUGUUUCUUAUGUAUUGAUCUAAAUAUGUCUCCAUGGUUCUUGUUAUGUUGGGCCUUCUUUAGACCUCUAACUUGAGUGUUUUCCUCUGAGGGCUUGAAUACAUGAAUAUUUUUCCCAUUCAGUAAAAACCAGUACAUUUUUGCAUCCAAAUGAGGAAGCUCAUAAAUGAGACAGUAGAGGACAUCCUACUCCAAAUACAUCUCCAGGUAUCUGCAGGAAAUACCACUGAAGUAACACUGACAUAAACAAAUGGAUGUUUCCCUCAUCUCCCCAAACUUCCUUAACACACACACACACACCCCGAUCAGGAUAGUGAGAAAUAUAAAGUCCAGUUUACAGAUGGAAACUCAGUGAUUCCUUGUUUGUGUCAGGGUACAGUAUGCCCAACAUACUUUAUUUCUUGUCAUGAGGCCCUGCCUAGCUGUCAUUCUGGGUUGCAUUUUGUUUUGAUGUGGAUAUCAUCCCUGAGAGUUGAGACUCUUUUCAGACUGUUUCUUACUGUCUAUUUAGCCAGGUGGGCACAACCCACAUCAAAUCCCACAUAUGAAAUGAUUCUCGGAUAGAACAAAAGUUAUAUACAGUAACAGUAGCAAUGUCCCUCACUUUACAGAACUCCUGAAUUUUCUCCAAAUUAUUGAGUAUUUCUGUUUCCUUCUGACUUACAGUAUUUCUUUGAGAGCAGCUUUAUCCUUAUUUCAGAUUGGGUCAUUAAUAGGGAGUGACUUGGAUCAACCUACCUGACUCUACCAGAUAAUUAAUAAUCCAAAUGGAUCGUUGAAGGCCAGAAUGGGAGGUUCUUAUCUGAUUACAUUGAUAGAGUCAAUAAUGCCAUGUGAACAGUCAUGUCUCAUACAUUUAGAUGUAUUUAGUUUUUAAAGGACUAUACCUAUUUAUUUGGAAAUCCUCAGGAUUUGGUAAUACCUUUUAUUUUAAAAACCUAGAACUGCACAUGCCUAGAAAUAGUUGGUGAGAUUGAAGUUUGCAGAGAUAAGUACCUAAAGAGAAGAAAGCAAAAACUAUCAUUCCCUAGUGCAGAUUAAGAAAUUAUUUCAGAGAGGUAAAAGUGGCUUGUCCAUGGUCACAAACCGUGGAAUUACAAUUGCGUCGCUAUUCUCUUGAUUUGCAAGAUAGUCAUUACAGUCUCUGGUGUUUUAAUGCUAGGAAAGCCUGCACUUUAGACAGUGACCAGAUCCUGGAUCCCAAAGGACAUAUGAAAGCUAGUUCAUCUAAUCUGUUAGAUUGGAGUAGCUAUAUCACAUACUGCCUUUCCAUUUUUGAAAGAUUUAAUUAGCUCAACUUCCCUUUUUUUCUGUCUUGUUAUUUGUCCAGCAGCCAGAAAAAUGAAGAGAAGACCUCUCCUUUAUUUACCACACGAUCCAUGGCGUUCUUAGCUAGUGCACUCUAGAAGUUAGGGUGGAGACUUUUAUUUGUCCUGCUUUUUUGGCAAUAAAAGGGGAGGGGAUGCCUCAUUCAGCCAGUCUUUGGCUCCUAAGAAACCAAAAAGCAAUGCUAUUCACUAGUCUCUAGGCUACUAAGUGCCAGAGUGGCCUGUGUUGACUCAAAUUCGUGUCCUUGCAGCUAGGUGGGGCUCUCUAGAGCUGUUAGUCCUGUGAGGUUGCCAGGGCAACUUAAAUCUUCUGAGCUUCGAAGGCUUCAAGAAGUACAAAGAGGAGACUACAGGGCACAUUACAACUUACAGGCAUGUGUUCAAUAACAUGUCAUCUUUUGGUAAUGGGGCUUUUAUUUUUAUUUUAUUUUGUGGGAUUGAAAGAUCAGAAGCCGGAAAUUAGCUGGGAAGGAUAAAGAAAAGGAAAAAUUAAAGGGGGGGGGGCACUAUUUCUGUUCCUUAUGUGGGCAAUGGUUAAACAAGGAGAACAUCUGGUCCUGGAGUGGGUCUCUGCAGCACUGCUUUUAGUUACCCCAUCAUUUGGUCUCAUGCUAAAUUAGUGACUGUGGGAGCAGCUCAGAUCUCCAUACUGACAGACCCAGAAAGCCCCACUUAGCCUGCCACAUAGUCAGAGGGGAAACAUGGAGCUUCCGGUUUCAUAUUUAAACCAGGGAUUGACUCAUAAUUGUAGCUGUCAGGAGGGUGAUGGAGACAUUAUGUAAUCUGGUUCUUAUGGCGAUGUGUGUUUAAGGUUUCUGCUCUGUGAAUUCCAGAGGAAAUUUCAAGUCCAUUGAGAGAGAGCUCGCUGGCUGCUCUGUGGUGUGCCCUGCAGGAUAAUGACAGUGCUAUUAAAGGUUCCUCAGUCUGCCUGAAUCCAAACAUGAAUGAAUUUCCCCCUGAAAGGCUCUCCUGUUUUUCCACAGACUUUUAAAUGUGGAUGAGGUUAGGCAAAAUUUGGUAAACUGCGAGGAGGCAGUAUGUUGGCCCAGUAGGGAAAUUUAAUAAUGACAAGCCGUUCUGGCCCACACGUAUUUUUUUCUGGACCACACAGUUCCCCUAUCAUUUACAGCCUUAGAGAUUCUGGAAGUGGACACCAGUUGCUCCUAGAAACAAAGCGCUGGGGCUGUGGAUCAUUUGUUCCUUUUAAAUUCUGCUUGUUACUUGCCUCUUGGAGGCCUCUGAGCUAGUAUAAAUGUGCAGGGUGGCCAGGGAAGGCUUGAGACAGACCCAGUGUUUGCUGCCAUGGGGUAAAAAAAGUCAGAGGAAGCUGUUUAAUUUUAACCUUAAAGGAAUGUGUUUUCAACAGUUUUGCUGGAGGGAGACUUCUGUUUUCAUUUGAUUGUUCUCUGAAUUCAGUUAGUUGUACUUGCAUGAUAAGAAGGAUUCAUUAGAUAGAGAAUAGUAUUCAUAUCAGGAGAAUAAUAGUAAAGACUAAAUAAAAGCUUAAAAGGUGAAUUGAGAAGGGGUUUGUUUGCUCGUGGGGAGUAAUGGUGGUGAGGAGUGGAGAGGAUGGAACCCUCUGUCACUCUCUGGUUGCUGGUCUGGCUGGUCCAGAGUUUCUCACCUCUGCUUUUUCACCUUUCCUUCCUCACUUGGAGAAUUUUCCAGGCUACCAGUACUUGGGGUUCUUUGCCUGCCUCUUCAUGCCGGUCAAAGACGACAAUGGUAGUUAUAAAGUAGUUUUAGCCAAAAUUAAUAACUAAAUGUGUGAAAAUGUGUAUGUCAUUAUCAUCAUUUGUAUUGUAACUGACUGUCGUAAACUAUUUUUUCUAGAAAAAUGAGCAAUUUGGACAACUGGAUAUUUGCUCUUUGGUCUGUGGAAUGUGUUAUUGGGAAUGGGUAAUUUUUGCUUUUCAUGAAGAAAGUUAUUUUAAUUAAAAAUAAUAUAAAAUACUAUUAUGUUAAUAUAACAUGUUUAAUAAAACAUAAGAAUAUGUUUAAUAUACUUGUGUAUUUGUAUACACAUAGAAAUGUAUAUUUAAGACUUCCCUGGUGGUGCAGUGGUUACGAAUCCACCUGCCAAUGCAAGGGACAUGGGUUCGAGCCCUGGUCCGCGAGGAUCCCACAUGCCACGGAGCAACUAAGCCCGUGCGCCACAACUACUGAGCCUGCACUCUAGAGUCCUCGAGCCACAACUACUGAGCCCGCAUGCCUAAAGCCCAUGCGCCACAACAAUGAGAAGCCCACGCACCACAAUGAAGAGUAGCCCCUGCUCGCUGCAACUAGAGAAAGCCCAUGCGCAGCAACGAAGAUCCAAUGCAGCCAAAAAUAAAUAAAUUAAUUUUAAAAAAUUUAAAAAGAAAUGUAUAUUUAAAGGAACAAUGAAAAGUUUCCCCCAUUCUUUCAGUCUCAGACGGUGAAAUCUUUAUUAGGCAACAGUGACAGUGUAAUGACUUGAUUUCUUCUCUCCCAUGAGAAUGAAGUUUCAUAUGAGUAUUAUUCAGUCACCAUAGCUUGGGACAUUAUCGUAUGACUGCUGCAUGAUGCAGGGAUGGGUAAUUUCAUGAGCUGUCUCGCCUAGGUUUGUUCAUUUUCCUAGUCAUUGAAAUGAAAAGACUUGAUGUGAUUCCUGUUGAGCUACUUCCAGAGGCAACCGUCCUUGUAAUGAAUUCUCUCCAUCAGAAAAUUAGAUGGGAUUUUGACUCCUUUCACAGAUGACACCAUUGAUUCUACCUAAAUUGGAUGGACUCAGUGCCUACCUCCCAUCCUCAGAACGCAGCAGGACUCAGAAUCUAGUGCUGGGACAUGGCAAACCAUGUCAGAUAAAGAAAUUGAGACCCAGAAAACUUGGGAAAUUUGCUCAAAUUCACACAUAAAUAAAGAAUGGAGUUGUGAAUGGAAGCCGAGCUGUUGGAAUCUAAGAAUUCAGGAUACUGUUUGAGAAGAUAAGAAAGUGUUUCAGGCCUUCCCUGGUGGCGCAGUGGUUGAGAAUCUGCCUGCUAAUGCAGGGGACACGGGUUCGAACCCUGGUCUGGGAGGAUUCCACAUGCCGUGGAGCCACUAGGCCCGUGAGCCACAACUACUGAGCCUGCACAUCUGGAGCCUGUGCUCCACAACGAGAGGCCGCGAUAGUGAGAGGCCCGCGCACCAUGAUGAAGGGUGGCCCCCGCUUGCCACAACUAGAGAAAUCUCUCACACAGAAACGAAGACCCAACACAGCAAAAAUAAA